CAUGUGAAACUGUCUGGGAUCAGGGCAGGCCCGUCUCAAGAGAGGGCACAGGGACACAAGCAGCAGCUCGCUGGCCGUCAGCUCAUGGGUCAGGGGAGGUAGGAUGCUGGACCCCAGCUUGUCGGUGCGGCUGUCGUCCGGGCUGACUGCCAUGUGGUUCUUAACUGCAGAGUCGUCCUGUGAGCCGAAGGACAGAUGCUCGAAGCUCACAGCCUUGCUGUAGGAGGGUGGGGCCUCCACAUCCCCGUCCAAGGUGGAGAACUGUGUCAGCUCUUCCUCUGGGGUGAGGCUGGCCUCCUCAGCACCCCUGGCUCCCACAUCGUACCCAGCGGCCUCGUACUCCUUGGCCUCCCUGGACUCAGGCGCCGUGCUCCCUGCCUCUUCCUCCUGCUCAGCCUCCACCUCCUCGAUGGUCUCAGUGGUCCCCUGGCAUACCAGUAUAGAUAUAUGGAUGAAUGAAUGAACCUUGGCAGAGCGGUUCACGGCAUCCUGUGACUGAAGAACCAGAUUGGCCUGAGCUUUUGAUGCCCGCUUAGGUGUUCAGAAUCCCCAGGGCUGUGUCCUUGAGUGCACACAUCAUGUAGGGGCUGUUGAAAUGCCAGGCCAAAACAGACUUUUGCUAAGACUUACCUCAAUUAGAUAUACUUCUUAGGAGGGCCAUGCCAUUGACCCAUUGCCCAGGGAACUUCCAGACUGCUGGAGCCAACCCCACACCAGGUCUCAUGGCCAGUAAGACUGUCAUCAGUCCUAAUAAUGCUCCCUUUGGUUUGGAUCUCUUGUGGCACCAAGGGGUGGAGGGUACCUUCAGACGUCAAGAAAAUGGACUGGCAUGGCAGGCACAUGCCCGCCAGAGGACUUUGUCAAAUGGCCAAGGCAUUCCCAUCAAUGCCAGGUGCCAGCAUACUGCAGGGCUGCACCGAGAUACACGGCUGCCAGUGAAAAGAAGAUGCCCUCUGACCUGCCACCAUGAGCAGCCAAAACGAAACUUGUUUUGGAUUAGGCUGUUUUCGUGUCAGGAGAAGCACAGUGUAGCUGCUGACUUCAUUGUGCCCCCUCACCAUCCUAAGGCAAUUCAAAAAGAGUUUUUGGGUUGUAUGCAAGUAAUUUUAUUUCUAAAUGAAUACUGUUUUAGGGUAGGAUUCGGCAGAACUUAAGCCACAGUAUUUUUUCCCCAAAAUAAAAGUUAUAGGCUACAAAGGUGAUGCAUUCUGCUGCAUAAUAUUCUUUUUAAAAACCAAUGGUAAACUAUAUUCUGACUUUUAUGUCAAUUAGGCAAAUAACAUGCAGACUUAUUUAAUAUUCACUAAAAAUGACUACCUAUGACAGAUUUUUAGAUUUUUUUUCCUACUGCAUGCAUCUUUUGAUUACAUCAAGAGAAGAAGUUUUCUACCUUUGCAAACAGAGUUCCCCCUUUGAGUAGUGCCCUCAGAAGCUCUAAAUUAUGGAGGAAACAUGCUUAUGUCUCUGAAAAUGGAAAGUUCGAAAUACUGAAAACAUGGAGGAGAAUGUUUGUGCUUGUUGGAUGCCAUGAUGGAGAGAACCCACUGCCUAAAACCCUCAUCUCCUGGUACCCAAUGGAGCAGUGACUGGCGAGGGAGGAUGGCAGAUCCAGGCCUAGGAUGCUGCUGGAUGUCACCAUGUCACCAUGUCCUGGACAAAAUGAAGAGACAAGGACAAGAUAAAUUAGAAAAGCAUUGGACGAACACAGUGAGGACUGGGAUGCUGACAUUAACUGGCUGUUGGGUUUUAGAUGAAUCAGUGCCCCUUUCUGGGGCCCCAAUUUUAUGUUUCUGAGAUGAGGGGACUUCACGUUUCUGUAUUUCAUUUAAUAUUUGCAGAAAUGCAACCCCAUAGCCUGUGCAGUCUCCUGCAGCUUUGCUCAGGUUUUCUUCAUGGGAACUGAUGGUUCUAAUUCAAAAGCCCUGUUUAUCUUGUUAACUCUUGGAUGGAGUUCUCAGAACCUACGUAAUCCCACACAGUUGGGUUCCCGGUAGGGCAACUAAUAUGUCACACAGUCCAGGACAGUUUAAAAGUGAAUAGGAAGGGGAGGAAAUGUAUAAAAAUAGGCCCCGACAGUAGGCCCAAGGGGACGGCUGCCAUCACCUGCCUGACGGGCCCCCCCACUGCGAGCACCACAGGAACACACAGCAACCCCUCAGAGGACAUAUUUAAAAUAUUAACCACCUCCUACCUGGGAAUGCCCCUCAGAAUGUUAAUUAAUGUUUUCUGUGUUAUCUGAUUAUAUAAAGCAACCAUUAAAAAAUGUUUGCCAUUUUACAUCUGGAUUUGAAAGAAACCGUGACUAUUCUCAUAAGUCAAAGGGACUACAAAUCCACUUGUUAGGAUCCCACCCAGACUCUGUCUGCUGUCUGCUUAAAGGUAAAAUUCAUGCCACUGGCCUCGGAGCAGGGGCCAUGAAGGGCACUGGCCACACUGGGUGAGCAUGACCUCACUGGGAAGUGGCAGCCUCCUGGCCACCAGACCCUUCCCAAUGACUUCCACUGCAGAACCUCUUCUAGGGAGGGUUACUACCUUUCCAGCAAUCAGCAUGGCUCCCUGGAGACUACAGUGUAGACAAAUGAUGAUUUGGAAAUUAGAAAUAUGGCUCGCUGCAGAAAAGGGCAAGUGAGGUAACCCCUUUACUGGCAACAAGAUAGGCCCUAUUCUGUCUCCCCUUUCUUUAGGUUGAAAAACAAAAUAAAAAUACAUUAAAACCUAA
Pongo pygmaeus (Bornean orangutan) is the source of this 2719-nucleotide long non-coding RNA. RefSeq lists it as uncharacterized. NCBI's taxonomy places the organism in Eukaryota, Metazoa, Chordata, Mammalia, Primates, Hominidae. The record is from RefSeq and is a predicted model, not a curated record. The transcript is spliced from 5 exons.